CUUGACAUGGCAGGAACCUCCGAGAGAUUGGAGGGUGCUCGAAAGAGAACCUGCACACAGGUGCUGCAUGGCUGUCGUCAGCUCGUGUCGUGAGAUGUUGGGUUAAGUCCCGCAACGAGCGCAACCCUUGUCAUUAGUUGCUACGAAAGGGCACUCUAAUGAGACUGCCGGUGACAAACCGGAGGAAGGUGGGGAUGACGUCAAGUCCUCAUGGCCCUUAUGGGUAG
Molecule: ribosomal RNA, 227 nt
Filed under: uncultured beta proteobacterium
Lineage: Bacteria; Pseudomonadati; Pseudomonadota; Betaproteobacteria
Description: partial 16S ribosomal RNA
Rfam family: Bacterial small subunit ribosomal RNA
Source: RNAcentral